This 28-nucleotide non-coding RNA is filed under the name Mus musculus (house mouse). The record is from RNAcentral. Lineage: Eukaryota; Metazoa; Chordata; Mammalia; Rodentia; Muridae.
UGUUAUGAAUCAUAAUGUAAAUGUCUGA